GUGGAGAUAAAAUCUGGACGAGCGCUCGCGUUGCAGCUCUUUGGUGACGGUCAGCAGAGGAGAAGGUAUUCAGAUCCGUUACUGAGGUGUGGAGCUGGAGCUCGUGCUUCAAGGGUUUCCCCGGGACGGCGCUGUCCUAAUGAUUUAGACGGCUCUCUGCCCUCGUCUCCCUCCUUCAGCAGAGCGGGAGGACUCGCCGAGAAGCGACGCCGCCGACGCCGGGGGAAAGUGAACAGCGUUCAUGCUUAAUCCCCCACAAAGGUCAACAAGGUUCAACGUGCCGGCGAAUAAAAAAGUAGAACGCAAGACUUCAAGGUCGUAGUUAAGUGCAGACGGUGGAACAAGGAUUCAGAUAUUUUAAUCAGAAGGGCUAAAUUCCAACCGCAGGGCAUAUCUUUUAGUUCUCUAAACAGCACUGAUCAGUGUCGCGGAGCCAGUUGGUCCCGUCGAGGGAUCAAUUAAGUUGUGGUACAAACUCAUUGACCUUGAUGGAAAUAACAAGAUAAAGUCUAAAGAACAGAGCAGUCGACAGUGGAGCAGAAUACUAAAGUGGCAUAAAAUGGGAACU
Gasterosteus aculeatus aculeatus (three-spined stickleback) is the source of this 568-nucleotide long non-coding RNA. NCBI's taxonomy places the organism in Eukaryota, Metazoa, Chordata, Actinopteri, Perciformes, Gasterosteidae. The record is from Ensembl.